Molecule: unclassified non-coding RNA, 486 nt
Filed under: plant metagenome
Description: partial contains small subunit ribosomal RNA, internal transcribed spacer 1, and 5.8S ribosomal RNA
Source: RNAcentral
UCUCCGUAGGUGAACCUGCGGAGGGAUCAUUAACACGUGCCCAAAAAACACGUUUCCAACCCAACAACCCGUGAACUAGAAACAACUCCCUUCAUAGUGUGACCGAGCGAAUAAUCAUCAGGGUGGAGUGAGAGAUACAUGGGAGGGAGAACAAUCAGCAGCACCACAAACGCUGUUGACUCUGCCUCUCCUCUCACUAUGACUCGUUCUAGGGGUCCUUGAGACUCCAAUCCGCUAUGAAGUGUCAUUUGCCGCCACCUGGUAGUCUGCUCGAUUGGCAGCAUGCUUUACGCAUGUUUUCCAAUCAAGCAGCGUUCUGCCGAAAACAUUUCACACAACACAUUUUUAACCCCUUUAACAACAUACUAAAAACUGAACCUUUUUUUGUUCUCAUGUUGUAUAUAUGCACUUGUGCAUAUAACGCGUUGAGCUCAAAAAGAUAUACGUAAUGCUGAACAACUCUUAGCAAUGGAUAUCUUGGUUCUC